UACGGAGGGUGCAAGCGUUAUCCGGAUUUACUGGGUUUAAAGGGUGCGUAGGUGGGUAGGUAAGUCAGUGGUGAAAUCUUCGAGCUUAACUCGGAAACUGCCAUUGAUACUAUUUAUCUUGAAUACUUUGGAGGUAAGCGGAAUAUGUCAUGUAGCGGUGAAAUGCUUAGAUAUGACAUAGAACACCAAUUGCGAAGGCAGCUUACUACAGGGAUAUUGACACUGAGGCACGAAAGCGUGGGGAUCAAACAGG
RNAcentral lists this ribosomal RNA (253 nucleotides) under uncultured bacterium. RNAcentral describes it as "partial 16S ribosomal RNA". It matches the Rfam family "Bacterial small subunit ribosomal RNA", at positions 524 to 776 of the family's 1533-position model. The record is from RNAcentral.